UACGAAGGGGGCUAGCGUUGCUCGGAAUCACUGGGCGUAAAGGGUGCGUAGGCGGGUUCUUAAGUCAGAGGUGAAAUCCUGGAGCUCAACUCCAGAACUACCUUUGAUACUGAGAGUCUUGAGUUCGGGAGAGGUGAGUGGAACUGCGAGUGUAGAGGUGAAAUUCGUAGAUAUUCGCAAGAACACCAGUGGCGAAGGCGGCUCACUGGCCCGAUACUGACGCUGAGGCACGAAAGCGUGGGGAGCAAACAGG
Molecule: ribosomal RNA, 253 nt
Filed under: uncultured bacterium
Lineage: Bacteria
Description: partial 16S ribosomal RNA
Rfam family: Bacterial small subunit ribosomal RNA
Source: RNAcentral